GAUGAACGCUGGCGGCGUGCUUAACACAUGCAAGUCGAACGAUGAAGCUCAGCUUGCUGGGUGGAUUAGUGGCGAACGGGUGAGUAACACGUGAGUAACCUGCCCUUAACUCUGGGAUAAGCCUGGGAAACUAGGUCUAAUACCGGAUAGGAGCGCCUACCGCAUGGUGGGUGUUGGAAAGAUUUAUCGGUUUUGGAUGGACUCGCGGCCUAUCAGCUUGCUGGUGAGGUAAUGGCUCACCAAGGCGACGACGGGUAGCCGGCCUGAGAGGGUGACCGGCCACACUGGGACUGAGACACGGCCCAGACUCCUACGGGAGGCAGCAGUGGGGAAUAUUGCACAAUGGGCGAAAGCCUGAUGCAGCGACGCCGCGUGAGGGAUGACGGCCUUCGGGUUGUAAACCUCUUUCAGUAGGGAAGAAGCGAAAGUGACGGUACCUGCAGAAGAAGCACCGGCUAACUACGUG
RNAcentral lists this ribosomal RNA (466 nucleotides) under uncultured bacterium. RNAcentral describes it as "partial 16S ribosomal RNA". It matches the Rfam family "Bacterial small subunit ribosomal RNA", at positions 28 to 507 of the family's 1533-position model. The record is from RNAcentral.